RNAcentral lists this transfer RNA (72 nucleotides) under Camelus bactrianus (Bactrian camel). It matches the Rfam family "tRNA". Rfam says of the family: Transfer RNA (tRNA) molecules are approximately 80 nucleotides in length. Their secondary structure includes four short double-helical elements and three loops (D, anti-codon, and T loops). RNAcentral also lists the same sequence under 2 other names. Lineage: Eukaryota; Metazoa; Chordata; Mammalia; Artiodactyla; Camelidae. The record is from Rfam by way of RNAcentral.
GAGGGUAUAGCUCAGUGGUAGAGUGUGUGCUUAGCAUGCAUAAGGUCCUGAGUUCAAUCCCCAGUACCUCUG